AUGAUGAAACGAGUGGAAGGAAGGAACGAUAUGACAGGAAAGACAAGAUUGCAUCCAAACCCAUCUUUCUUGGUUAUAAGUCUGGUGUUAAAGGUUUUAAAUUAUGGAAUCCUGAAAACCAGAAGGUUGUUAUUAGCAGAAAUGUUAUCUUUAAUGAAACAACUAUGUUACAUGACGUUCCAUUUACUAAUGUUCCUGUUGAGAGUGAAGAGCAACUAUCAGGUGGAGCAUGUUAUUGAUUCAGGUGAUACAUCCGGUAAUGAAAAUGUUGAUGCACAUGAUGAACCGAUCGUUGAUGAUGAACAUGUCACUCCAAAUCAGCCUAUUGUUCCACCCAGUUGGAAUCUCGCAUGUGACAGAGUUAGGCGGGUUAUUAAUAAACCUGACAGGUUAAUUGAAGAGUGCAAUAUGUUUCUUUUGCUUUAUCUGUUGCAGAAGAAAUUGAAGGUAAUGCUGAGCCUUCUUCAUAUUCCGAGGCUAUUAUUUCUGGUAAUAGUAAUAAGUGGAUGGCUGCUAUGCAUGAUGAGAUGGAAUCACUUGAAAAGAAUGGCACUUGGGAUUUAG
RNAcentral lists this ribosomal RNA (564 nucleotides) under Triticum aestivum (bread wheat). RNAcentral describes it as "partial small subunit ribosomal RNA". The record is from RNAcentral. Lineage: Eukaryota; Viridiplantae; Streptophyta; Magnoliopsida; Poales; Poaceae.